CUGGUACUUACCUUGUUUAACCUCUCAGAUCCAGAAAACACCCCUAGUCAUGCCCCAGAGUUGGCUGGGCCACGCAAAACUGGUUAAUGCCAGACAAACUCAAAAGACACCAACAGUUAAGUGAAAAUACUUGUUUUCAGGGCAAAUAGUCUUUCAAAUAACUUUCUUAUUAACCAGGUUCACGGAGAGAUGAAUUAAUAAUUUACCAAAAAAACAAAAAACGAAAGUUUAACUGAGCUGGAAUCCAAGUAAAAGAAGUGGGCAGUUCUGAGGCCAUUUCAUCCUUGCUGUGGCUAAAACUUUUACCAGGUGAGGCCCUGGAGGCUGGACUGCAUCCACAGAUUUCUGCUCAGCCAGAGACAGAGCUCUCCAAGGCCACACAGCUAAGAAGCAGCUGGUUGGGAAUGGAGCCUGAGUCCUGGACUCCCAAGAACCUCCGACCUUCCAGAUGUGGCUGACCACCAAUGACCUGGGCAGUUCUGAGGACGACUCCUCUCAGCUGGUCACCCCGCAUGACACAGACAAUGACUCUCACCUGAGGGCGCUACAUGUGGACUUCAUUCCACAGCUUUUGAGUGAUGCUUCCAACAUCUGCCAUGUUCCAAAUAAGCAUCCUCAGGGGUAUUUUGCAUUUCCCGAGUUUCCAAAAGGGCCUUUAGGAUUUUACCACACUAGGACAGUAGGAGCCCUCUGUCAGGAUGCCAACCAAGUCGAGCAUCACCCUAGCAGCUGAGCAUCCGGUUUAACUGCAGCGUUGGCACUUUGUGAUAAAUUAGUGGGUUUUGGGUUGCAAUUUGGGCAGUCUAUAAAAGGUCUGCCAGGGCCGGGGAUUUAGCUCGGUGGUUCUGCCACUUGCCUUGCAAGCAGCAAGGACCCAAGUUCAAUCCCCAGUACCCACCCCACCCCACCCCCCAAAAAAAUCACAGCAAUUUUGGGGCCAGGGAUUUAGCUCAGUGGUUCCGCCGCCUGUCUUGCAACCACAAGGACCCAAGUUCAAUCCCUGGUACCAAAAAACAAAAAAGGUCUGCCAUCACUGGUUUAGGAAAACUUGAUUUUGAAUCUGUCUGCCUUUUUCUAGUACUAGAGAUAGAACCCAGGUUCUCACAUAGGCAAGCAAGUGUUCUAUCACUGAGCUACAUCCCCCGCUUUUUAUUUUUGAGCUAAGGACUCACUAAGAUCCCCAGGCUGGCUUCGAAAUUGUGAUCCUCAAGUAGCUAGGAUCACAGGGGUGCACACCACACCUAGAACCAAGUUAUUCUAGGAAGGCUACAAACAGAAGCUAAGGCCUUCAAAGUAGCCUACUCCACACAAUAUUCUCUCUCUCUCCCUCUCUCCCUCCCUCUCUCCCUCUCUCUCUCUCCCAUGAAUGCUUUCACCACUAUUUCUCUCGGUCACCUGUGAUAAACAUGUCACAAAUCCCAGGGCUAAGUGGCUGGUGCUUGUUUUAUGUACACAGAGUGAAGUAAAGGCUAAAUGACAUUUAGUCUAGCAACCAGCUUAUCCCUAAGGGGCCUCACAGGAAGUUCACCAACACCUUGAAGGUCUGUCACUUUCUGGAGGAUAAAUGACCUGGAUGGAGGGUUUCAGAACAUGAACUCAUGAGCCAGGCGUGGUGGUGCAUGCCUGUAAUCCCAGCACCAGGAGAAAAAAGAAAAUGAACUCAUGGCCUCAGUCCCUUUUGGCUCAGCUACUGGAUUUCUCCUGAGACUCAAAGUACAGAAAGACUCGAGGUUUUACAGAUGCCCGUCAGUGCUUCCACCUCUCCACCCCUAAAGCAGAGGGUCUCAACCUUGCUGCAUUCCAGAAUCUCCCAGAGAACUUUAAAAGAAAAACAAAUGGUUUCUAGGCUUGGUUUCUGUCUCCCAGAAAUGCUGACCUGGGCGAGGGUCAGACACAUCAGAGGUCAGGAGUUCCCCAGGUGACUAACGUGCAGCAGGGUGAGGACCAGGGCUGUAAAACCUCUUAAAGAAAUCAGAAGCAGCUCCACACCACAAAAAUAAAAAAUACUCUCAGGCCGGGGAUUUAGCUCAGUGGUUCCCGCCUGCCCUCGCAAGCGUAAGGUCCCAAGUUCGAUCCUUGGUACCAAAAAAAAAAAAAAAUGCUCUCAAGGAAGGAAGGAAACAAGUGAAGCAAACACUCAGCCCCCUGUCUUCUCCACACCCAGCCCUUUCCUUCUCGGCCUCCCUCCCAGGGCCCAGCUCUUCCGUCCGCUUAGGUACAGUCUGUACUUAACCGGAGCUUCUGGAGCCCCUUACCCCGGCCCUUUUAGUGGUGGCUCCCAUAGCACCCACUGCUCACAUCAUCUGCCAGUGUUCUCGGAGGUGACCAAGGAAGAAUGGUUACACCCAUUUUACACCUGAGGACAAGAGUCUCGAAGGAUACAGGCCUUAUCUGGGGUGGAAGACAGCCACACCACUCCCCUGGGUUCGCUCCCAAGCCAGUUUCUCUCCUGGCACUUUCCCUCAUAAGGAAGCUCCAACGGAUUGCUAAAACCAGGGGACUUUCCUGGAUCUCCACCACCAUGUUACUUCUCUGCUCUGGAACCUUCCAUGGCUCCCACUGACCAUAGGAUAAACACAACCCGCCUUGUUCAGCUUUAACAUUCUUCUGCUUCCUGAGCAAAAUGACAUAACCCUUUCUUGCUAUUCAAACCCUUCUGCAUCAGACUCUACAUUUCAAAUAUCCUUGUCAUUUCUCUCCUUCUGAUGUUUGCUACUUGUUCAAAAAUCUGGGAAGCCCAGAUUUUUAAAUAUAUUAUUACUAUUCCAUCCUAUAUCCAUCUGUUUGGAGAAGGAGGAGUCUCUCCAACUGGAUUAAGCUCUUCAGGGGCUAGAAUCACACAUCUCUUCAUGGCCCAGACAGCCCCCAGCAGAACGUGAGGCCAGCGGCACAGUAAACACCUGCUGGUGGGCAUUUGUGGGUGGGGCACUCGCACCCUUGGGAGGGAGGAAGCCUGUGCAACCAGGCAGUCAAACAGCCUCCCAAGAAAAUCUUAACAAGCAUACAAUGUAUGCCCCGGAUGUAGCUCUCUAGCAGAGCUGAUGUGCAAAAUCACAGGGUCACAGGGCAAACAGUGACGGCACACAAGCCACAGCAGCAGCAAUGCCUUCAAGGACAGCAAGGUUUCUGAGGAAACUCUCAGAACAGAGUCGGCCCGCAGGACUUCUGCUCAGCCCUCUGGCCACCUACCUAGCUGGACACAGUCUUUAACAUGUAACUUAGAAUGAAUGAUUACAGCUGUACACUCCGGUGCAUGUCUGUAAUUCCAUCACUCUGGGAGGCUAAGGCAGGAAUCCGGGCUCAAGUCGGGCCGGGGGAACUUAGCGGCACCUUGUCUCAAAAUAAAAUAUGUAGCUUGGUGCGAAGGUCUUGAGUUCAAACCCCAGUACCACCCCCCCCCAAAAGAAUUAAUGAUUAUUCCUUGCUCUGCUAAAUAUUCAUUAUUUGUCAUUGUUUUAUCUGUAGAUUUUCAGUGUUAGAACCUAUCUUUGACCUAUUGCGAUUAUUGUACGCCCAAUAAUGUACAAAAACUGCCCACAAACAAAUGAAAAUAUUAAGGGUUUUAAGAGGCAUCUGAAGAACUGCCUCUACCUUAACAUAAAUUCCGCCAGGUAAGUGAAGCCAAGCACAUCUCCUUUCCAACCACAAGAAGUAAAUUUACAAAUCUAAUGGACUGGA
Molecule: long non-coding RNA, 3678 nt
Organism: Heterocephalus glaber (naked mole-rat)
Lineage: Eukaryota; Metazoa; Chordata; Mammalia; Rodentia; Bathyergidae
Source: RefSeq, a predicted model, not a curated record